This is an RNA transcript of Phalaenopsis equestris, 1271 nucleotides long. It is a transcript of the gene named protein PARTING DANCERS, with no coding region annotated. The record is from RefSeq and is a predicted model, not a curated record. The transcript is spliced from 10 exons. Lineage: Eukaryota; Viridiplantae; Streptophyta; Magnoliopsida; Asparagales; Orchidaceae.
CCUAAACUUCCAUCUUUACGCUACAAAAGCCGGAGGCAGCGAUUGAUGGCAUCCGGCAGCGAUAGACAGCGAGCAAGUUCUACCGCAGUCUAAGGAGGACGGAGAGAUGCGAUCGCCGCCGGCGAUGACUAGGGGAGGCGGAGGAGAGGGACUUAGGCAGCACUACCUGCAAAACAUGCACGAUCGUCAGCUUCAGGUUCGGCAGAAAUAUUACAGUCUCAACUGUCCCGAUGCGCAUUGUAAUGAUCUCAACGCCAAAGGGAGUGGAGUUUGCAUGAUGAGCACUGCCUGGAAAGAGGAGCAGCACCCAUCUUUCAUCAUCUUCAUUUCAUCAUUCCUCCAUACAAAUUCAUAUAGGCUCAACUUUCUUCAGAUAGCCCCGGAUUUUAUAUUCAACAACGGAGGAACAUCAGUUGCAUUCCUAUUCAUUACAAAUUGGGACUGUCAUGAUGCCCCUUCCGUCUUUAGCAGGGUUGUGACACUGAAAAGACAGUUCAGGCAUCUUUAUGUUGUUGUUUCUGCCCCAACUAAGGAGCAGAAUGACUCAUUUAACGACUCAUACUUCAAGCAUGCCAUGGAGCUUGGUAACCCAACAUUUGUGCCAGUUUGUGAUCCAGAGAUGGGUUUUGAGAAGAUUGUGAAGAUUGCUCAUGCUCGUGGAGUUUGUAAGCAACAAGAUGUCAUAUCCAUGAUGAAGCUUGAACGUAUGCAAUCAAUUGAGCAGAUGGAUUGCUUCCUUAGAGUCAUCACCACCAUUCCGGGAAUUGAUAACCAUGAUGCAAAUGCGCUUGCAGGUGCCGUCGGCUCUAUUGAAGCAAUUUCCAGAGCUUCCAAGGAAUUUAUUUUGGAAAGUACAGACCUUUCAGUGGAUAAAGCUGAAAGGAUUUUUAGAUUUUUUAGAGAUCCAGGCUACUAUCUCUGUCCAAAAAUCAAUUAAUUGCGAAGUUUACCAGUGACGAUGUCUAGUGUAAUAUGACGAUGUCGAGUGCAAUAUUCCAUUUAGCAAAACUCCCCUCCAGCAACCCCUCUUGGUGAAGAAUGGCUCCAUCGUUAAAACAGUGCAGGGGCAUACGGGUGGCCUUGUGUGCAUGCAACUUUUAACCACUAGAGAUUAUUAAGAGUUGGGGUGAAAUUACGUGUAAAAUCAACUUACGGCAUCUACAUACGUACCAUUCAAUUCCUGUGUAUUUACAUAUCCAACACCUAAAUUUUGCAUUUCAUAUUUAUGCUAAAAUUUUGUCACAUGAAAAUACCACCAUUUCACCUUUUAA